Molecule: ribosomal RNA, 393 nt
Filed under: uncultured Halomonas sp.
Lineage: Bacteria; Pseudomonadati; Pseudomonadota; Gammaproteobacteria; Oceanospirillales; Halomonadaceae
Description: bacterial SSU rRNA
Rfam family: Bacterial small subunit ribosomal RNA
Source: RNAcentral
UCGUGCGAACUUGGUAGAGAUACCUUGGUGCCUUCGGAACGCACAGACAGGUGCUGCAUGGCUGUCGUCAGCUCGUGUUGUGAAAUGUUGGGUUAAGUCCCGUAACGAGCGCAACCCUUGUCCUUAUUUGCCAGCGGGUAAUGCCGGGAACUCUAAGAAGACUGCCGGUGACAAACCGGAGGAAGUGGGACGACGUCAAGUCAUCAUGGCCCUUACGGGUAGGGCUACACACGUGCUACAAUGGCCGGUACAAAGGGUUGCGAAGCCGCGAGGUGGAGCUAAUCCCGAAAAGCUGGUCUCAGUCCGGAUCGGAGUCUGCAACUCGACUCCGUGAAGUCGGAAUCGCUAGUAAUCGUGAAUCAGAAUGUCACGGUGAAUACGUUCCCGGGCCUU